RNAcentral lists this non-coding RNA (21 nucleotides) under Caenorhabditis elegans. The record is from RNAcentral. Lineage: Eukaryota; Metazoa; Nematoda; Chromadorea; Rhabditida; Rhabditidae.
UAUUUGCCUAACGCAAGAUGG